This 465-nucleotide ribosomal RNA is filed under the name uncultured bacterium. RNAcentral's name for it is "partial 16S ribosomal RNA". It matches the Rfam family "Bacterial small subunit ribosomal RNA", at positions 28 to 507 of the family's 1533-position model. The record is from RNAcentral.
GACGAACGCUGGCGGCGUGCUUAACACAUGCAAGUCGAACGGAAAGGCCCCUUUGGGGGUACUCGAGUGGCGAACGGGGGAGUAACACGUGAGUAACCUGCCCUUGACUUCGGGAUAACUUCAGGAAACUGGGGCUAAUACCGGAUAGGAAUCCUUGCUGCAUGGUGGGGGUUGGAAAGCUUCGGCGGUUUUGGAUGGACUCGCGGCUUAUCAGCUUGUUGGUGGGGUAGUGGCUUACCAAGGCUUUGACGGGUAGCCGGCCUGAGAGGGCGACCGGCCACAUUGGGACUGAGAUACGGCCCAGACUCCUACGGGAGGCAGCAGUGGGGAAUCUUGCACCAUGGGCGGCAGCCUGAUGCAGCAACGCCGCGUGCGGGAUGACGGCCUUCGGGUUGUAAACCGCUUUCAGCAGGGGCGAAGCUUGUGGUGACGGUACCUGCAGAAGAAGCACCGGCUAACUACGUG